AGAAAAUAUGAGAAGGAAAAGGAAACAAAAAGUGGAAGCAGGAGGAAACAAGCAGAAAUAAACAUGUGAACUGCAGCUUUGCAGCCAAACCAGGCAUCUUGUCUUCAUCUCAGGGAUCCAGAAAUCCACCCUGUUCUGGAGGCCACUGAAACAGAACCAUCAGAUUCCUGAAAUGGUGUUUCAAGUAUGUGAUUAACCUCAGGUCACAAGCCUUCAACAACCCCGCUGGAUGCUACUCUUCUGUUUAGAAAUGGGAUUCCAUACUGCAUCAACCCUUUGAUCCUGCUGCUCAUGUGCUACUUGUGACUGGAGAUAUAAAUAUGUCUUCAAUCCAGCAUUUUAUUUACAAGGAAAUUGGGCCAAAUUCCUCUCCUGUGAACUGAAAAAAAAAAUCCCUCUAGACUGUUUGGGGAAAAAAGGAGUGAAAAAAGGUUCCACAUUUUUAACAUUACUGUAUCUUUUGCUCGCAGUUUUGGAAAAAAAGCAAUCUGUGUGUCAUGAAAUCAAAGCAAGGGGGAAAAAAAGCCUCUUCAGCAUCUUUUCUGUGCAGCAGUGAGAAAACUCUGUCCUUGUCCCAGACAGCACAGUGUGCGCACAGAUGGAGGGCAGCAUGGCCUAAUACCAUGGUCCUUUGUUAAGCAAAAACUCCAUCAGCUCCUGGGCCAAAACCCCACCACCAGUGAGGCAGAUUUCCAAUGGCAAGCAGUAGGAAUGCAGGAGACAAAGACCUUGGCAGAGAUGGGCACUAGCUGACAGUGCUGAGGGGUUGCUCAGAUGCAGAUACAGUGCCAGGAGAGGCGGCUGAUGCCAUACAGAGCUGCACCGGUGGAUGCUGACAGCCUCCAAGUGCUCAGCCAUGCAUUGUGAACAGCAGUCUGCCUCUGGGUCACGGACCAGCAAUGACAGUGACACUUAGCAGUGGCAAUGAUUAGCCAUGCUUUUUGUCCCAGCUGUGAGAAAGGAGGUGAGGUGAGUACAGCCACUGCUGCCCACAGCUCUGGCUGCCCCAGGGGUCAUGCAGGAGCAUUCUGGUGGAUGCCUGGAGAGGUCUCACAUGCAGUGCUGUCAGGCCAGGCAGCCCAAACCUAGACCUUCUGUCCAGCACCCACAGUGGGGUAGACGAUGGCUGGGGAUGAGAAAGCAGAGCAACUCCAAGAAAGAAGGCAAUGGCAGCAUGAGGUCUCCGUUUUAUUUACAUUAUCCACAUCCACUUGGUCUGUGUCACAUGUCCUCUAGUUUUUAUAACACCUCGAUGUACAGGGGCAUCAGAAUUUAGGCAAGUAUUUUGCUUUAUCCUAUUAACUGGGAAAGGGCUUACCUUUUGCAGUAGAAAACACUCAAGUCAACAAACCAGGAGACAGUUUAAAUGGCCCUCACUCUACAGUUGGGCUUAUGAUAAACUUU
Long non-coding RNA from Oxyura jamaicensis (ruddy duck), 1404 nucleotides. RefSeq lists it as uncharacterized. Lineage: Eukaryota; Metazoa; Chordata; Aves; Anseriformes; Anatidae. The record is from RefSeq and is a predicted model, not a curated record. The transcript is spliced from 3 exons.